RNAcentral lists this ribosomal RNA (253 nucleotides) under uncultured bacterium. Its description in RNAcentral is "partial 16S ribosomal RNA". It matches the Rfam family "Bacterial small subunit ribosomal RNA", at positions 524 to 776 of the family's 1533-position model. The record is from RNAcentral.
GACGUAGGAGGCGAGCGUUGUCCGGAAUCAUUGGGCGUAAAGCGCGCGUAGGCGGCCCUGUAAGUCCGUUGUGAAAGUCAAAGGCUCAACCUUUGAAAGCCGAUGGAUACUGCAGGGCUAGAGUCCGGAAGAGGCGAGUGGAAUUCCUGGUGUAGCGGUGGAAUGCGCAGAUAUCAGGAGGAACACCAAUAGCGAAGGCAGCUCGCUGGGACGGUACUGACGCUAAGGCGCGAAAGCGUGGGGAGCGAACAGG